Molecule: ribosomal RNA, 301 nt
Filed under: uncultured bacterium
Lineage: Bacteria
Description: partial 16S ribosomal RNA
Rfam family: Bacterial small subunit ribosomal RNA
Source: RNAcentral
CAGUAGCCGCGGGAAUACGUAGGGUCCGAGCGUUGUCCGGAAUUACUGGGCGUAAAGCGCGCGUAGGUGGUUCGCCAAGUUGGAUGUGAAAUCCCCGGGCUCAACCUGGGAACUGCAUCCAAAACUGGCGAGCUAGAGUAUGGUAGAGGGUGGUGGAAUUUCCUGUGUAGCGGUGAAAUGCGUAGAUAUAGGAAGGAACAUCAGUGGCGAAGGCGACCACCUGGACUGAUACUGACACUGAGGUGCGAAAGCGUGGGGAGCAAACAGGAUUAGAUACCCCUGUAGUCCCUGUCUCUUAUAC